AGAGUUUGAUCAUGGCUCAGGAUGAACGCUGGCGGCGUGCUUAACACAUGCAAGUCGAACGGACUUUACAUGAAGCCUAGCGAUUGUAAAGUUAGUGGCGGACGGGUGAGUAACGCGUGAAUAACCUGCCCCUGUACCGGGGGACAACAGUUGGAAACGGCUGCUAAUACCGCAUAAGCGCACAGUUCCGCAUGGAACAGUGUGAAAAACUCCGGUGGUACAGGAUGGAUUCGCGUCUGAUUAGCCAGUUGGUGGGGUAACGGCCUACCAAAGCAACGAUCAGUAGCCGGCCUGAGAGGGUGAACGGCCACAUUGGGACUGAGACACGGCCCAAACUCCUACGGGAGGCAGCA
Molecule: ribosomal RNA, 353 nt
Filed under: uncultured bacterium
Lineage: Bacteria
Description: bacterial SSU rRNA
Rfam family: Bacterial small subunit ribosomal RNA
Source: RNAcentral